This 252-nucleotide ribosomal RNA is filed under the name uncultured Borrelia sp. RNAcentral describes it as "partial 16S ribosomal RNA". It matches the Rfam family "Bacterial small subunit ribosomal RNA", at positions 524 to 774 of the family's 1533-position model. Lineage: Bacteria; Pseudomonadati; Spirochaetota; Spirochaetia; Spirochaetales; Borreliaceae. The record is from RNAcentral.
UACGUAAGGGGCGAGCGUUGUUCGGGAUUAUUGGGCGUAAAGGGUGAGUAGGCGGAUAUAUAAGUCUAUGCAUAAAAUACCACAGCUCAACUGUGGAGCUAUGUUGGAAACUAUAUGUCUAGAGUCUGAUAGAGGAAGUUAGAAUUCCUGGUGUAAGGGUGGAAUCUGUUGAUAUCAGGAAGAAUACCGGAGGCGAAGGCGAACUUCUGGGUCAAGACUGACGCUGAGUCACGAAAGCGUAGGUAGCAAACA